GACAGCUCCAGCCAUAGGAAUUUUUUGCUAUAUGGAUUAACCAUGAGAGUGGAUUACAUCAGACCAACAAAGGAAGAAGAUUUUAAGUAACAAGUGUCAGCAAGAAGAAGCUUUAUCACAUGACUAUCAUACAGCUUCACGUGAUAAGCGAGAUGGCGGUGCCUUCUUGGUGUCUGUUGCUUGUGGUAUUGCUGCCCGCUGCCGGCCGGGCUCAGAGCCCCGUGGUGUCGGUUAUCCUGGACCCGCAGACAGGGAAUCUCAGCACCGUGCCGGAGAAGAGGACCGACGCCGUGGCUUGGGCAGUGCUGAAGGACGGCAUCCAGGAGAAUGGAUGGGCUGUUCUGGAACUGGAGAGCAAUAAGAAUUAUAAUGACAGCAUCCAGGCUUAUGCUGCAGGGGUGGCCGAAGCUGCGGUUUCUCAGCGGCUUAUCUACAUGCACUGGAUGAAUACAAUGGUUAAUUACUGUGGCCCUUAUAAGUACGAAACUCCAUACUGUGAGAGGUUGCGGGCUUAUCUGCAGGCUAACCUAGCCUGGAUGCAGGAACAGAUGGAAAAAAGUGAAGACCAGGAGUACUGGCACCAGGUUCGGCUUGCUCUCCUGCAGCUGAAGGGCCUAGAGGACAGUUAUGAUGGCAUCAUCUCCUUUCCCCAAAAAAAGUUCACACUGAGUCCCUUUGGGUUCCUGCUCUUCCAGCUUGGGGGUGACUUAGAAGAUCUGGAAGCUGCUCUCAACAAUUCAGAAGCUCAAUCACCAUUUGGAUCGGGGUCAUGCUCUGCACUAAUUAAGCUUCUUCCUCGGAAUAAAGACCUCUUGGUGUCACAUGUUACUUGGAACACCUACCAAUCCAUGCUGCGCAUCAUCAAAAAGUAUACACUUCCUUUCCGCACAUCUCCCAAGGGGGGCACUGUGGUACCGGGCUGGGCUCAGACAUUCUCCUCCUACCCAGGCACCAUCUUCUCUGGUGAUGACUUCUACCAGCUGAGCAGUGGUUUAGUUACAUUGGAGACCACCAUUGGGAACAGCAAUCCAAAUCUCUGGAAGUACAUUCAGCCGCAAAACUCUGUCCUGGAGUGGCUCCGGAACAUUGUAGCUAACAGAUUGGCCACAGGAGGACAAGAAUGGGUGGAUAUCUUCAAGAUGUUUAAUAGUGGAACAUAUAAUAACCAGUGGAUGAUUGUGGAUUACAAUAAAUUUCAUGCUGGAGCUGCAGAGGUACCCAGUGGACUUCUCACCAUCCUAGAACAGAUUCCAGGGAUGGUGAUUGCAGAGGAUAAAUCUGAUCUUCUUUACCAAACCGGAUAUUGGGCCAGUUACAAUGUUCCGUACUUCACAGAGAUUUUUAACGCAAGUGGACAGGCAGCCCUUGUGGAGCAGUAUGGAGACUGGUUUAGUUAUUCCAAAACACCCCGGGCCCAGAUAUUCCACAGGAAUCAGACCUUUGUGCAGGAUUUGUCCUCUAUGGUGAAGCUCAUGCGAUACAAUGAUUUCCUUCACGAUCCUCUUUCACGCUGUGAAAGUUGUACUCCCAAGCAGAAUGGGGAGAAUGCAAUCUCUGCUCGGUCUGAUCUUAACUCAGCUAAUGGUACUUACCCAUUUGGAGCUAUGCGACAGCGGCAACAUGGAGGCACAGAUAUGAAGGUGACUAGCUAUGACUUUGCCAAGCGUCAUAUAAUGAUGGCUGUGAAUGGUCCUACAUGGGAUCAGGUUCCCCCAUUUGAAUGGAGCACAUCGCCAUUCCGCAAUCUCACGCACAUGGGUCACCCGGACCUCUGGAAAUUCAAUCCCAUUGUCAUCCGUUGGGAUUAAGAUGCUGAUUUUUGUGCUAGUCUGGACUUGAGUUUAACUGGUAUCAAUUGACCAUCUCAAUAUGGAUUCCAGUGUUUGGCCACUGUUUGCCAAAGAUGAGAAAUCCUAUUGUUGGUUGAAAGAACGGAGUCUCAUCAAUUCAGAGCCGGCCUAAUUUCCCCAAGAAAACAAGGUCACGUUGUUCUCUACAAAAAACAAUCCCAAAAAGAUACCGGUACUUACAUCAUUUUUGCAGCCUCUGUGCUAAAUAUCUAUGCAAUGUAUGUUUUUGAAGCUGCUACACUUGGGCAAUACUUGCUAGUCUAUUACAUACUGAUUAUGUGUUUAUUUUUUUCAAUAUAUAAAAUGUUCUCGUUUUGAAAGUGGUGUUUUUUUUUAAUUUUUUGUUUGUUUUU
This is an RNA transcript of Pseudophryne corroboree (corroboree frog), 2203 nucleotides long. It is a transcript of the gene named phospholipase B domain containing 2, with no coding region annotated. The record is from RefSeq and is a predicted model, not a curated record. The transcript has 14 exons. Lineage: Eukaryota; Metazoa; Chordata; Amphibia; Anura; Myobatrachidae.